Molecule: ribosomal RNA, 468 nt
Filed under: uncultured bacterium
Lineage: Bacteria
Description: partial 16S ribosomal RNA
Rfam family: Bacterial small subunit ribosomal RNA
Source: RNAcentral
GACGAACGCUGGCGGCGUGCUUAACACAUGCAAGUCGAACGGAAAGGCCCUGCUUUUGUGGGGUGCUCGAGUGGCGAACGGGUGAGUAACACGUGAGUAACCUGCCCUUGACUUUGGGAUAACUUCAGGAAACUGGGGCUAAUACCGGAUAGGAGCUCCUGCUGCAUGGUGGUGGUUGGAAAGUUUCGGCGGUUGGGGAUGGACUCGCGGCUUAUCAGCUUGUUGGUGGGGUAGUGGCUUACCAAGGCUUUGACGGGUAGCCGGCCUGAGAGGGGGACCGGCCACAUGGGGACUGAGAGACGGCCCAGACUCCUACGGGAGGCAGCAGUGGGGAAUAUUGCACAAUGGGCGGAAGCCUGAUGCAGCAACGCCGCGUGCGGGAUGACGGCCUUCGGGUGGUAAACCGCUUUCGCCGGUGACGAAGCGUGAGUGACGGUAAUGGGUAAAGAAGCACCGGCUAACUACGUG